GCUCAUCAUACAAUCUCAAUGUGAUGUGUGAUAAUCACACAGAUCCAGUGGCAAAGCUACAAGGCUACAACCCCCGGAAUGAAAGAGUAAGAUUAUCCCCUCUGGAACGGCCCGCCAUAGUCAACUCCACUGUCUCCUGGACGUUUGUCCGCUGUAUCCUGUAUUCUUGCUCAUUUCUACAUGCUGAGUACCUUAUAUAUGAACUUCAGCAGAAGGCCAGAGGACAAGAAUGGAAGGUUGUGCCAACUAAUAAGGGCAGUACCAGCAGUCUUCUGGAUGAAGAGGAGCUAGUCAGAGGGGAGCGGUACUGUUUCCGGGUGCGAGUGAAGCCAAAUAUCCCCGAAAAAAUCCCCAAAGCAGAGUGGAGUGAAUGGAGUGCCGAAGCAACUUGGGUCUCCACUAUAGGACGCCCUCCAGGUAAUUUAAAUUUUUUUUGCCAAAAUAGUUUUUUUUUCAAGCAAUAUUGAAACGUUCCACUGACGUAUUGCUGCAUGAAGGUACUUCAGUAUACUUUUCUUGCCUCAGCCAUUGUGUGCCUCUGUGUUUUUAUCUGCUUAGAGAUGUUUGCA
Long non-coding RNA from Engraulis encrasicolus (European anchovy), 569 nucleotides. RefSeq lists it as uncharacterized. Lineage: Eukaryota; Metazoa; Chordata; Actinopteri; Clupeiformes; Engraulidae. The record is from RefSeq and is a predicted model, not a curated record. The transcript is spliced from 3 exons.